UUCAGCUUCCCUAAGGAGUCAGGAAUAGCACAACGAAGACGGUUGAAGGACAAAUCCCUGUUGCAGGUAAAACCAUCAAAUACUUUCCUUCUUUGCUUUCAAUAAAUAAUUUAUGUAACCAAAUUAAGUAGUUAACACCUGGCUAUGUUUUACCUUUCUUGUACUGUAUUUUACAUGUGUUUUCUACUAGCGCUUUUAUAUAACUCUCUGAUCUUCUUUACCACAACAGAAUAAGAAACAGAGCUAUUCUCUCAUUUUCUGGGAAUUGUUCACGGCUACUGAUCCCAAAUUCUACAUAGUAUCAGAGUAGAGUGAGUGAUCAAUCUUUGUUUUCAAUCUAAAAUCUUUGAGAAAGAAAGCGAAACCGUGAGAAAAGUGGAAGUAGCAAAACGAGAGGAAACGGUACAACUGUUGCCCGGAAAGAAGAUGGCUCCGAUGGAAUUCUGGUGCUGCAAGGGCCAGAUCGCUGUGGAAUGAUCUUAGUUUCGGCGCCUUUCAUCGGAUGCAUUUAUCGAAUGUGGAGUUCAGCAAUGCGCAUCACACGAGGAGGAAUCAAAAAGAGUUUUAAAGAAGUGGAAAGGAUGUGUUACAUGGCAACGUCAUGGAUUGGAAUUCAGUUUCUAAAAAUCUCAUGCAACAAUUCAAUCCACUUUUUUCCUUUUCUAACAAUCUUCUGCUUGACCUUUCUUCGGUUUGUUUGCCUUUCUUUGUUUUGGUUUUCCACCGUCCCUCUAUUGGUUUGUCCUCGUGUUUUUCUUUGAUGUUUGUUGGUUUUAUUAUUGGUUUUGCAGGUCUUUAGUGGCUUUGGUGAGA
This 813-nucleotide long non-coding RNA is filed under the name Manihot esculenta (cassava). Its description in RNAcentral is "long non-coding RNA (MESC_LNC002749)". Lineage: Eukaryota; Viridiplantae; Streptophyta; Magnoliopsida; Malpighiales; Euphorbiaceae. The record is from RNAcentral.